CCUACGGGUGGCAGCAGUGAGGAAUAUUGGUCAAUGGGCGUAAGCCUGAACCAGCCAAGUCGCGUGCGGGAUGAAGGUUCUAUGGAUCGUAAACCUCUUUUAUAAGGGAAUAAAGUGUGGGACGUGUCCUAUUUUGUAUGUACCUUAUGAAUAAGGAUCGGCUAACUCCGUGCCAGCAGCCGCGGUAAUACGGAGGAUCCGAGCGUUAUCCGGAUUUAUUGGGUUUAAAGGGUGCGUAGGCGGCCUUGUAAGUCAGCGGUGAAAGUCUGUGGCGCAACCAUAGACUUGCCGUUGAAACUGGGGGGCUUGAGUAUGUUUGAGGCAGGCGGGAUGCGUGGUGUAGCGGUGAAAUGCUUAGAUAGCACGCAGAGACCAGAUUGCGAA
This 384-nucleotide ribosomal RNA is filed under the name uncultured bacterium. RNAcentral's name for it is "partial 16S ribosomal RNA". It matches the Rfam family "Bacterial small subunit ribosomal RNA", at positions 338 to 719 of the family's 1533-position model. The record is from RNAcentral.